UUCUGACAGGAAUUCUGGCUUCUGGGGUGGUAUGUAUGUUUUUUUCUCAAGGGCUGGGGUUUAAACAU
RNAcentral lists this microRNA precursor (68 nucleotides) under Nematostella vectensis (starlet sea anemone). RNAcentral describes it as "microRNA nve-mir-9434 precursor". Lineage: Eukaryota; Metazoa; Cnidaria; Anthozoa; Actiniaria; Edwardsiidae. The record is from miRBase by way of RNAcentral.